UACGUAGGCAGCGAGCGUUGCUCGGAGUUACUGGGCGUAAAGGGUGUGUAGGCGGUUGUUUAAGUUUGGUGUGAAAUCUCCCGGCUCAACUGGGAGGGUGCGCCGAAUACUGAAUGACUAGAGUGCGGGAGAGGUGAGUGGAAUUCCUGGUGUAGCGGUGAAAUGCGUAGAUAUCAGGAGGAACACCGGUGGUGUAGACGGCUCACUGGACCGUAACUGACGCUGAGACACGAAAGCGUGGGUAGCAAACAGG
RNAcentral lists this ribosomal RNA (253 nucleotides) under uncultured bacterium. RNAcentral's name for it is "partial 16S ribosomal RNA". It matches the Rfam family "Bacterial small subunit ribosomal RNA", at positions 524 to 776 of the family's 1533-position model. The record is from RNAcentral.